This 377-nucleotide ribosomal RNA is filed under the name uncultured organism. RNAcentral's name for it is "partial 16S ribosomal RNA". It matches the Rfam family "Bacterial small subunit ribosomal RNA", at positions 527 to 896 of the family's 1533-position model. The record is from RNAcentral.
GUAGGUGGCAAGCGUUGUCCGGAAUUAUUGGGCGUAAAGCGCGCGCAGGCGGUUCUUUAAGUCUGAUGUGAAAGCCCACGGCUCAACCGUGGAGGGUCAUUGGAAACUGGAGAACUUGAGUACAGAAGAGGAAAGCGGAAUUCCACGUGUAGCGGUGAAAUGCGUAGAGAUGUGGGGGAACACCAGUGGCGAAGGCGGCUUUCUGGUCUGUAACUGACGCUGAGGCGCGAAAGCGUGGGGAGCAAACGAGGGAUUAGAUACCCUGGUAGUCCACGCCGUAAACGAUGAGUGCUAAGUGUUAGGGGGUUUCCGCCCCCGUUAGUGCUGCAGCUAACGCAUUAAGCACUCCGCCGUGGGGAGUACGGCCGGCAAGGCUG